RNAcentral lists this unclassified non-coding RNA (346 nucleotides) under soil metagenome. Its description in RNAcentral is "partial contains 5.8S ribosomal RNA, internal transcribed spacer 2, and large subunit ribosomal RNA". The stretch from base 1 to 120 matches the Rfam family "5.8S ribosomal RNA", at positions 35 to 154 of the family's 154-position model. The record is from RNAcentral.
GAUGAAGAACGCAGCAAAAUGCGAUAAGUAAUGUGAAUUGCAGAAUUCAGUGAAUCAUCGAAUCUUUGAACGCACAUUGCGCCCGCCAGUAUUCUGGCGGGCAUGCCUGUUCGAGCGUCAUUUCAACCCUCAAGCACAGCUUGGUGUUGGGGAUCGGCAGCAGGGCGUCAAGCCCGCCGGCCCCGAAAUCUAGUGGCGGUCUCGCUGUAGUCCUCCUCUGCGUAGUAGCACAACCUCGCAGUUGGAACGCGGCGGUGGCCAUGCCGUUAAACACCCCACUUCUGAAAGUUGACCUCGGAUCAGGUAGGAAUACCCGCUGAACUUAAGCAUAUCAAUAAGCGGAGGA